This 78-nucleotide transfer RNA is filed under the name Steccherinum ochraceum. It matches the Rfam family "tRNA". From Rfam's summary of the family: Transfer RNA (tRNA) molecules are approximately 80 nucleotides in length. Their secondary structure includes four short double-helical elements and three loops (D, anti-codon, and T loops). Further hydrogen bonds mediate the characteristic L-shaped molecular structure. tRNAs have two regions of fundamental functional importance: the anti-codon, which is responsible for specific mRNA codon recognition, and the 3' end, to which the tRNAs corresponding amino acid is attached (by aminoacyl-tRNA synthetases). tRNAs cope with the degeneracy of the genetic code in two manners: having more than one tRNA (with a specific anti-codon) for a particular amino acid; and 'wobble' base-pairing, i.e. permitting non-standard base-pairing at the 3rd anti-codon position. The record is from Rfam by way of RNAcentral. Lineage: Eukaryota; Fungi; Basidiomycota; Agaricomycetes; Polyporales; Steccherinaceae. RNAcentral also lists the same sequence under 3 other names.
GGCCGCCUGGCGAAAUGGCAUCGCGUCUGACUACGAUGAGUAAUCAGGAGAUUGCAGGUUCGACCCCUGCGGUGGUCA